GGUGGUGCAUGGUUGUCGUCAGCUCGUGUCGUGAGAUGUUGGGUUAAGUCCCGCAACGAGCGCAACCCCUAUUGUUAGUUGCCAUCAUUCAGUUGGGCACUCUAGCGAGACUGCCGGUAAUAAACCGGAGGAAGGUGGGGGAUGACGUCAAAUCAUCAUGCCCCUUAUGACCUGGGCUACACACGUGCUACAAUGGUUGGUACAACGAGUUGCGAGUCGGUGACGGCGAGCUAAUCUCUUAAAGCCAAUCUCAGUUCGGAUUGUAGGCUGCAACUCGCCUACAUGAAGUCGGAAUCGCUAGUAAUCGCGGAUCAGCACGCCGCGGUGAAUACGUUCCCGGGCCUU
This 345-nucleotide ribosomal RNA is filed under the name uncultured Streptococcus sp. RNAcentral's name for it is "bacterial SSU rRNA". It matches the Rfam family "Bacterial small subunit ribosomal RNA", at positions 1037 to 1382 of the family's 1533-position model. Lineage: Bacteria; Bacillati; Bacillota; Bacilli; Lactobacillales; Streptococcaceae. The record is from RNAcentral.